CUGAUCUUAUGGAGCCAAUUU
RNAcentral lists this non-coding RNA (21 nucleotides) under Rattus norvegicus (Norway rat). Lineage: Eukaryota; Metazoa; Chordata; Mammalia; Rodentia; Muridae. The record is from RNAcentral.